Podarcis lilfordi (Lilford's wall lizard) is the source of this 69-nucleotide non-coding RNA. Lineage: Eukaryota; Metazoa; Chordata; Lepidosauria; Squamata; Lacertidae. The record is from the annotation of a GenBank genome assembly.
CCAGUCAGCUCAGUUGGUCAGAGCAUGGUGCUAAUAACGCCAAGGUUGCUGGUUCAAUCCCCAUAUGGU